Molecule: ribosomal RNA, 1521 nt
Filed under: metagenome
Description: bacterial SSU rRNA
Rfam family: Bacterial small subunit ribosomal RNA
Source: RNAcentral
GAGUUUGAUCAUGGCUCAGAUUGAACGCUGGCGGCAGGCCUAACACAUGCAAGUCGAACGGUAACAGGAAACAGCUUGCUGUUUCGCUGACGAGUGGCGGACGGGUGAGUAAUGUCUGGGAAACUGCCUGAUGGAGGGGGAUAACUACUGGAAACGGUAGCUAAUACCGCAUAACGUCGCAAGACCAAAGAGGGGGACCUUCGGGCCUCUUGCCAUCAGAUGUGCCCAGAUGGGAUUAGCUAGUAGGUGGGGUAACGGCUCACCUAGGCGACGAUCCCUAGCUGGUCUGAGAGGAUGACCAGCCACACUGGAACUGAGACACGGUCCAGACUCCUACGGGAGGCAGCAGUGGGGAAUAUUGCACAAUGGGCGCAAGCCUGAUGCAGCCAUGCCGCGUGUAUGAAGAAGGCCUUCGGGUUGUAAAGUACUUUCAGCGGGGAGGAAGGGAGUAAAGUUAAUACCUUUGCUCAUUGACGUUACCCGCAGAAGAAGCACCGGCUAACUCCGUGCCAGCAGCCGCGGUAAUACGGAGGGUGCAAGCGUUAAUCGGAAUUACUGGGCGUAAAGCGCACGCAGGCGGUUUGUUAAGUCAGAUGUGAAAUCCCCGGGCUCAACCUGGGAACUGCAUCUGAUACUGGCAAGCUUGAGUCUCGUAGAGGGGGGUAGAAUUCCAGGUGUAGCGGUGAAAUGCGUAGAGAUCUGGAGGAAUACCGGUGGCGAAGGCGGCCCCCUGGACGAAGACUGACGCUCAGGUGCGAAAGCGUGGGGAGCAAACAGGAUUAGAUACCCUGGUAGUCCACGCUGUAAACGAUGUCGACUUGGAGGUUGUGCCCUUGAGGCGUGGCUUCCGGAGCUAACGCGUUAAGUCGACCGCCUGGGGAGUACGGCCGCAAGGUUAAAACUCAAAUGAAUUGACGGGGGCCCGCACAAGCGGUGGAGCAUGUGGUUUAAUUCGAUGCAACGCGAAGAACCUUACCUGGUCUUGACAUCCACGGAAGUUUUCAGAGAUGAGAAUGUGCCUUCGGGAACCGUGAGACAGGUGCUGCAUGGCUGUCGUCAGCUCGUGUUGUGAAAUGUUGGGUUAAGUCCCGCAACGAGCGCAACCCUUAUCCUUUGUUGCCAGCGGUCCGGCCGGGAACUCAAAGGAGACUGCCAGUGAUAAACUGGAGGAAGGUGGGGAUGACGUCAAGUCAUCAUGGCCCUUACGACCAGGGCUACACACGUGCUACAAUGGCGCAUACAAAGAGAAGCGACCUCGCGAGAGCAAGCGGACCUCAUAAAGUGCGUCGUAGUCCGGAUUGGAGUCUGCAACUCGACUCCAUGAAGUCGGAAUCGCUAGUAAUCGUGGAUCAGAAUGCCACGGUGAAUACGUUCCCGGGCCUUGUACACACCGCCCGUCACACCAUGGGAGUGGGUUGCAAAAGAAGUAGGUAGCUUAACCUUCGGGAGGGCGCUUACCACUUUGUGAUUCAUGACUGGGGUGAAGUCGUAACAAGGUAACCGUAGGGGAACCUGCGGUUG